UGGAAUUCUUUCCCUAAAUCUCUCUACUUUUCAACCCGCGUUUAAACUGGCAACAUCACUAUAAAUAAAAGUUUAAGGAUGGAUUAUUUUGCAUUUAGUUCGUGUCAGACUAAUGGAAUGAAGGCAAGAUGACCCACAACAGGAGAGAGGGCUCAGAUGGAGGAGUGGCAGACCUUUGAAUCCAUGCCCCUAGUGAAGAGAUGGCAGGUGCUAACAGAUUCUACAAAAGGAACAAGCAAAAGAUGCCACAACACUGCUCCCAUUCCCAUCCGUUCUCCCAUAACACCAGCCCUACCCCAAUCCCCUUCCCCACCCACACCCACCUUUUCCCAUGCAACUGCAGCACCAUUUCCAAAGAUGAUAGCUCGGAAAUGUCAGCAAGAGCCAUGACGCAGCAUUCACCUAUACCUCCUGUUGUGUUAUCACCUUUGAAGUGGUGUCCCAUUAAGAGCUCAACAUGGAACUGAGUCAAAUGCCUGAAUGUUGUCCCAUAACACAAGGCCACUGGCUGUAACACCCAAGACACUGUCUG
Molecule: long non-coding RNA, 532 nt
Organism: Chiloscyllium plagiosum (whitespotted bambooshark)
Lineage: Eukaryota; Metazoa; Chordata; Chondrichthyes; Orectolobiformes; Hemiscylliidae
Source: RefSeq, a predicted model, not a curated record